This 506-nucleotide ribosomal RNA is filed under the name uncultured bacterium. Its description in RNAcentral is "partial 16S ribosomal RNA". It matches the Rfam family "Bacterial small subunit ribosomal RNA", at positions 29 to 523 of the family's 1533-position model. The record is from RNAcentral.
AGUGAACGCUGGCGGUGGGCCUAACACAUGCAAGUCGAACGGCAGCACAGGAGAGCUUGCUCUCUGGGUGGCGAGUGGCGGACGGGUGAGGAAUACAUCGGAAUCUACUUUUUCGUGGGGGAUAACGUAGGGAAACUUACGCUAAUACCGCAUACGACCUACGGGUGAAAGCAGGGGACCUUCGGGCCUUGCGCGAUUGAAUGAGCCGAUGUCGGAUUAGCUAGUUGGCGGGGUAAAGGCCCACCAAGGCGACGAUCCGUAGCUGGUCUGAGAGGAUGAUCAGCCACACUGGAACUGAGACACGGUCCAGACUCCUACGGGAGGCAGCGGUGGGGAAUAUUGGACAAUGGGCGCAAGCCUGAUCCAGCCAUACCGCGUGGGAGAAGAAGGCCUUCGGGUUGUAAAGCCCUUUUGUUGGGAAAGAAAUCCAGCUGGCUAAUACCCGGUUGGGAUGACGGUACCCAAAGAAUAAGCACCGGCUAACUUCGUGCCAGCAGCCGCGGUAA